RNAcentral lists this ribosomal RNA (768 nucleotides) under Escherichia coli. RNAcentral's name for it is "bacterial SSU rRNA". It matches the Rfam family "Bacterial small subunit ribosomal RNA", at positions 692 to 1457 of the family's 1533-position model. The record is from RNAcentral. Lineage: Bacteria; Pseudomonadati; Pseudomonadota; Gammaproteobacteria; Enterobacterales; Enterobacteriaceae.
AGAGAUCUGGAGGAAUACGUGUGCGCGAAGGGCGGCCCCCCUGGACGAAGACUGACGCUCAGGUGCGAAACGCGUGGGGAGCAAACAGGGAUUAGAUACCCUGGUAGUCCACGCCGUAAACGAUGUCGACUUGGAGGUUGUGCCCUUGAGGCGUGGCUUCCGGAGCUAACGCGUUAAGUCGACCGCCUGGGGAGUACGGCCGCAAGGUUAAAACUCAAAUGAAUUGACGGGGGCCCGCACAAGCGGUGGAGCAUGUGGUUUAAUUCGAUGCAACGCGAAGAACCUUACCUGGUCUUGACAUCCACAGAACUUUCCAGAGAUGGAUUGGUGCCUUCGGGAACUGUGAGACAGGUGCUGCAUGGCUGUCGUCAGCUCGUGUUGUGAAAUGUUGGGUUAAGUCCCGCAACGAGCGCAACCCUUAUCCUUUGUUGCCAGCGGUCCGGCCGGGAACUCAAAGGAGACUGCCAGUGAUAAACUGGAGGAAGGUGGGGAUGACGUCAAGUCAUCAUGGCCCUUACGACCAGGGCUACACACGUGCUACAAUGGCGCAUACAAAGAGAAGCGACCUCGCGAGAGCAAGCGGACCUCAUAAAGUGCGUCGUAGUCCGGAUUGGAGUCUGCAACUCGACUCCAUGAAGUCGGAAUCGCUAGUAAUCGUGGAUCAGAAUGCCACGGUGAAUACGUUCCCGGGCCUUGUACACACCGCCCGUCACACCAUGGGAGUGGGUUGCAAAAGAAGUAGGUAGCUUAACUCGGGAGGGCGCUUAC